This 82-nucleotide ribosomal RNA is filed under the name Clostridiales bacterium. RNAcentral's name for it is "partial 23S ribosomal RNA". It matches the Rfam family "Bacterial large subunit ribosomal RNA", at positions 2843 to 2925 of the family's 2925-position model. Lineage: Bacteria; Bacillati; Bacillota; Clostridia; Eubacteriales. The record is from RNAcentral.
GACUACGAGGUUGAUAGGCGGGAGGUGCAAGCGCCGCGAGGCGUUGAGCUGACCCGUACUAAUAGGCCGAGGGCUUGACCUU